GAUGAAGAACGCAGCGAAAUGCGAUAAGUAGUGUGAAUUGCAGAAUUCAGUGAAUCAUCGAAUCUUUGAACGCACAUUGCGCCCCUUGGUAUUCCGAGGGGCAUGCCUGUUCGAGCGUCAUUAUCACCCCUCAAGCUCAGCUUGGUGUUGGGGCCGGCCCGUCACAGGGCCGCCCCUAAAAGCAGUGGCGGUGCCAUCUGGCUCUACGCGUAGUAAUACUCCUCGCGACAGAGUCCCGGUGGUGUCCUGCCAGAACCCCCCAUCUUUUUAAUGAUUGACCUCGGAUCAGGUAGGGAUACCCGCUGAACUUAAGCAUAUCAAUAACGGAGGA
Molecule: unclassified non-coding RNA, 331 nt
Filed under: soil metagenome
Description: partial contains 5.8S ribosomal RNA, internal transcribed spacer 2, and large subunit ribosomal RNA
Rfam family: 5.8S ribosomal RNA (bases 1-120)
Source: RNAcentral